Molecule: ribosomal RNA, 224 nt
Filed under: uncultured bacterium
Lineage: Bacteria
Description: partial 16S ribosomal RNA
Rfam family: Bacterial small subunit ribosomal RNA
Source: RNAcentral
AGUAAUGUCUGGGAAACGGCCUGAUGGAGGGGGGUAACUACUGGAAACGGUAGCUAAUACCGCAUAACGUCGCAAGACCAAAGUGGGGGGACCUUCGGGGCCUCAUGCCAUCAGAUGUGCCCAGAUGGGAUUAGCUAGUAGGUGGGGUAACGGCUCACCUAGGCGACGAUCCCUAGCUGGUCUGAGAGGAUGGCCAGCCACACUGGAACUGAGACACGGUCCAG